RNAcentral lists this transfer RNA (68 nucleotides) under Neotermes insularis. Its description in RNAcentral is "tRNA-Tyr". Lineage: Eukaryota; Metazoa; Arthropoda; Insecta; Blattodea; Kalotermitidae. The record is from RNAcentral.
AGUAGAGUGGCUGAGAUUAAAGUAGGUGGUAGAUUGUAAGUCUAUUAAGGGGUUAUACCCCUCUACUA